RNAcentral lists this ribosomal RNA (498 nucleotides) under uncultured bacterium. RNAcentral describes it as "partial 16S ribosomal RNA". It matches the Rfam family "Bacterial small subunit ribosomal RNA", at positions 899 to 1397 of the family's 1533-position model. The record is from RNAcentral.
ACUCAAAUGAAUAGACGGGGGCCCGCACAAGCGGUGGAGCAUGUGGUUUAAUUCGACGCAACGCGAAGAACCUUACCUGGGUUUGAACUGCAGGCGAUCGCCCCAGAAAUGGGAUUUCCCUUCGGGGCGCCUGUAGAGGUGCUGCAUGGCUGUCGUCAGCUCGUGUCGUGAGAUGUUGGGUUAAGUCCCGCAACGAGCGCAACCCUUGUCCCUAGUUGCCAGCGGGUUAUGCCGGGAACUCUAGGGAGACUGCCCCGGAAAACGGGGAGGAAGGUGGGGAUGACGUCAAGUCCUCAUGGCCUCUAUGUCCAGGGCUACACACGUGCUACAAUGGGCGAUACAAAGGGUCGCAAAGCCGCAAGGUGAAGCCAAUCCCAAAAAGUCGCUCUCAGUUCGGAUUGCAGUCUGCAACUCGACUGCAUGAAGUUGGAAUCGCUAGUAAUCCCGGAUCAGCAUGCCGGGGUGAAUACGUUCCCGGGCCUUGUACACACCGCCCGU